RNAcentral lists this non-coding RNA (236 nucleotides) under Novosphingobium sp. Lineage: Bacteria; Pseudomonadati; Pseudomonadota; Alphaproteobacteria; Sphingomonadales; Sphingomonadaceae. The record is from RNAcentral.
CGCCGAACUGAUCGCGCCGGUGCCCGCCAAACGGGCUUAAUCGGGAAUGCGGUGCGGGGGGCUGGCCUCUCCAAAUCCGCGGCUGUCCCUGCAACUGUAAACGGAUAGCGCGAUGCACAUGCGCCCUUGCCAAGGGCCAGCCACUGGGCCGGACGCUAAAUCCUGCGAGGUCUGGGAAGGCGUGCAUCAAGCUGUGACCCGCAAGCCAGGAGACCUGCCGGCGUCUGGUCGCUCUU